GCAGUGGUGGUUCAGUGGUAGAAUCCUUGCCUUCCAUGCAGGAGACCUGGGUUUGAUUCUGAGCCACUGCA
Molecule: transfer RNA, 71 nt
Filed under: Loxodonta africana (African savanna elephant)
Lineage: Eukaryota; Metazoa; Chordata; Mammalia; Proboscidea; Elephantidae
Rfam family: tRNA
About the family: Transfer RNA (tRNA) molecules are approximately 80 nucleotides in length. Their secondary structure includes four short double-helical elements and three loops (D, anti-codon, and T loops). Further hydrogen bonds mediate the characteristic L-shaped molecular structure. tRNAs have two regions of fundamental functional importance: the anti-codon, which is responsible for specific mRNA codon recognition, and the 3' end, to which the tRNAs corresponding amino acid is attached (by aminoacyl-tRNA synthetases). tRNAs cope with the degeneracy of the genetic code in two manners: having more than one tRNA (with a specific anti-codon) for a particular amino acid; and 'wobble' base-pairing, i.e. permitting non-standard base-pairing at the 3rd anti-codon position.
Source: Rfam by way of RNAcentral